RNAcentral lists this ribosomal RNA (764 nucleotides) under Echidna polyzona. RNAcentral's name for it is "partial 12S ribosomal RNA subunit". It matches the Rfam family "Bacterial small subunit ribosomal RNA", at positions 293 to 1386 of the family's 1533-position model. The record is from RNAcentral. Lineage: Eukaryota; Metazoa; Chordata; Actinopteri; Anguilliformes; Muraenidae.
UGUGAGAAUGCCCUUUCCCCCCGGCAGGAGAAAAAGGAGCAGGCAUCAGGCACACACUAGUGGCCCCAAAACGCCCUUGUUAGCCACACCCCCAAGGGAACGCAGCAGUGACAAACAUUAAGCCAUAAGCGAAAGCUUGACUUAGUUAGGGCUAACAGAGCCGGUAAAACUCGUGCCAGCAACCGCGGUUAUACGAGAGGCUCGAAUUGAUGCACCACGGCGUAAAGUGUGAUUAAAGAUAAUCAAAACUAGAGCCAAACACCCCCUAUGCUGUCAUACGCCAUGGGGGUCACGAAGCCCAACAACGAAGUGGUUCUAUUAACCUUGAACUCACGACAGCUAAGAUACAAACUGGGAUUAGAUACCCCAUUAUGCUCAGCCUUAAACUAAGGCGAUAAACUUACAAGACUCGCCCGCCAGGGAACUACGAGCCCUAGCUUAAACCCAAGGGCUUGGCGGUGCCUCAAACCCACCUAGAGGAGCCUGUCCUAUAACCGAUGAUCCCCGUUAAACCUCACCCUUCCUUGCCAACCCCGCCUAUAUACCGCCGUCGCCAGUUUACCUUUUGAGGGAAUAAAAGUAAGCAAAAUGGGUAAUACCCAACACGUCAGGUCGAGGUGUAGCGAAUGGAAGGGAAAGAGAUGGGCUACAUUUUCUGGUAUCAGAAUAUUACGGAAAAAGUAUUGAAAAAGUACUAUUUGAAGGUGGAUUUAGCAGUAAAAGAAAAAGAGAGUUCUUUUGAAAACCGGCCCUGAGGCGCGUAC